GGAAUCUGGUUUCCCUUCAAAACGAAUAAAUCUUUCGACUGUUACUAGAGAUUUCCAUGGAGGGGAACAUUAAAUGAGUCUGUAAGAAACUUGUCGUAGUGCUCGGUAAAAGCCGCGCG
Molecule: small nuclear RNA, 119 nt
Organism: Schistocerca gregaria
Lineage: Eukaryota; Metazoa; Arthropoda; Insecta; Orthoptera; Acrididae
Product: U5 spliceosomal RNA
Exons: 1
Source: RefSeq, a predicted model, not a curated record